This 575-nucleotide ribosomal RNA is filed under the name uncultured bacterium. Its description in RNAcentral is "bacterial SSU rRNA". It matches the Rfam family "Bacterial small subunit ribosomal RNA", at positions 8 to 629 of the family's 1533-position model. The record is from RNAcentral.
AGAGUUUGAUCCUGGCUCAGGAUGAACGCUGGCGGUCUGCUUAACACAUGCAAGUCGAACGGGCUCUUCGGAGCUAGUGGCGGACGGGUGAGUAACGCGUGAGAAUCUGCCUUCAGGAGGGGGAUAACGACUGGAAACGGUCGCUAAUACCCCAUAUGCCUCCGGGUGAAAAGUAAUUCGCCUGAAGAUGAGCUCGCGUCAGAUUAGCUAGUUGGUGGGGUAAGAGCCUACCAAGGCGACGAUCUGUAGCUGGUCUGAGAGGAUGAUCAGCCACACUGGGACUGAGACACGGCCCAGACUCCUACGGGAGGCAGCAGUGGGGAAUUUUCCGCAAUGGGCGCAAGCCUGACGGAGCAAGACCGCGUGGGGGAUGACGGCCUAAUGGUUGUAAACCCCUUUUCUCUGGGAAGAAGACUGACGGUACCAGAGGAAUCAGCCUCGGCUAACUCCGUGCCAGCAGCCGCGGUAAUACGGAGGAGGCAAGCGUUAUCCGGAAUUAUUGGGCGUAAAGCGUCCGUAGGUGGUUAUUCAAGUCUGCUGUCAAAGCGUGGGGCUUAACUCCAUAGAGGCAGUGG